UGCAUUUUGCACAUGCCAGUUUAUUGCAUUCUUCUUUUUCAUUUUUGUUUUUUCAUUCUUGUUAUAGUCCACUGCUGAAAACAAAUACUGUUUCAAGCUAUUUGGGUUGUCAAGCUGCAUUAAGUGCAUUGGCUGCUCAUUCAAUUGAUCCCGGUGAAGCAGAAAGACAAGUUCUUGGCAUUAUCUUAGGGCAAGGUCAACAAAUGACUGGAUGAUUAUUUACAAUGGGUUGUUGAAAGUCAGAGAUUUAGUCUCCCCAAGGAAAUGGCAGAGUUCCCUUCUAGUCCCAUAGGCAAAAUUCACAAAGGGGCAUUUUCAACCUGGAUGAAGGCAGUACUGAAGCAUUAAAUAUGUUGCUUUUGCACAACUUGGAUGCAUCAAAAAGGUUGAAGAAGAUAAAUCAGCUUUUGAGGUUCAAGCGAAGGUCGAUCUUGAAGCGAAAGUCUACCUUGACCCAGUCACCAUUGCAGAAAUCCAAGCUUGACCCAAAGUUGAAGGGCAUUGCAGCAAAGUCUCCUCAUCUUUGUACCUACACCUUGAACGAUGAGCCUUCACUCCACUUAGUGUCUUAUUUUUUUCUCGUGUGUAUACCUACUCGGUAUAAGGUUUAUAUGAUCAUCUCCGUUUCCCUCCUAA
Vitis riparia (riverbank grape) is the source of this 636-nucleotide long non-coding RNA. RefSeq lists it as uncharacterized. NCBI's taxonomy places the organism in Eukaryota, Viridiplantae, Streptophyta, Magnoliopsida, Vitales, Vitaceae. The record is from RefSeq and is a predicted model, not a curated record. The transcript has 3 exons.